Molecule: ribosomal RNA, 253 nt
Filed under: uncultured bacterium
Lineage: Bacteria
Description: partial 16S ribosomal RNA
Rfam family: Bacterial small subunit ribosomal RNA
Source: RNAcentral
UACAGAGGGGGCGAGCGUUGUUCGGAAUUACUGGGCGUAAAGGGCUCCUAGGCGGCCAACUAAGUCGGACGUGAAAUCCCCAGGCUCAACCUGGGAACUGCGUCCGAUACUGGAUGGCUUGAAUCCGGGAGAGGGAUGCAGAAUUCCAGGUGUAGCGGUGAAAUGCGUAGAUAUCUGGAGGAAUACCGGUGGCGAAGGCGGCAUCCUGGACCGGCAUUGACGCUGAGGAGCGAAAGCCAGGGGAGCAAACGGG